AUGGCUCAGGAUGAACGCUAGCUACAGGCUUAACACAUGCAAGUCGAGGGGCAGCAUUGGAGUAGCAAUACUCAGAUGGCGACCGGCGCACGGGUGAGUAACACGUAUCCAACCUGCCGCUUACUCGGGGAUAGCCUUUCGAAAGAAAGAUUAAUACCCGAUGGUAUAAAGAGUUCGCAUGUUCUCUUUAUUAAAGAAUUUCGGUAAGCGAUGGGAUGCGUUCCAUUAGAUAGUUGGCGGGGUAACGGCCCACCAAGUCUACGAUGGAUAGGGGUUCUGAGAGGAAGGUCCCCCACAUUGGAACUGAGACACGGUCCAAACUCCUACGGGAGGCAGCAGUGAGGAAUAUUGGUCAAUGGACGAGAGUCUGAACCAGCCAAAGUAGCGUGAAGGAUGACUGCCCUAUGGGUUGUAAACUUCUUUUAUAAGGGAAUAAAGUGAGGGACGUGUCCCUUUUUGUAUGUACCUUAUGAAUAAGGAUCGGCUAACUCCGUGCCAGCCGCCGC
Molecule: ribosomal RNA, 506 nt
Filed under: uncultured bacterium
Lineage: Bacteria
Description: bacterial SSU rRNA
Rfam family: Bacterial small subunit ribosomal RNA
Source: RNAcentral